ACUUUAUUUAAUAAACUUUGGAUUAGUAUUUAUAAAGAAAUUUAACGGAUUUGGCGGCAAGAUAGCUUUUUAGAGGAACCUGCCCUGUAAACGAUGAACCACGAAUACCUUACUCGUUCUAGUAGUCAGUUUGUAUACCGCUGUUGUCAGUCAGAUCUAAAAAGAUAUUUUCUUUGUGAAAAAGUCAGUGACUUCAAGUAAAGGUGCAGCUUAUGGAGGAGAAAGAGGUGGGUUACAAUAAAUUGAAUUACACGGAAAAGGCUUAGAAUAAGCCUUUUAAAGGUGGAUUUAACUGUAAGAUUUAAA
This 306-nucleotide ribosomal RNA is filed under the name Coronula diadema. Its description in RNAcentral is "partial 12S rRNA". The record is from RNAcentral. Lineage: Eukaryota; Metazoa; Arthropoda; Thecostraca; Balanomorpha; Coronulidae.